RNAcentral lists this unclassified non-coding RNA (294 nucleotides) under Funneliformis mosseae. Its description in RNAcentral is "partial contains 5.8S ribosomal RNA and internal transcribed spacer 2". The stretch from base 1 to 71 matches the Rfam family "5.8S ribosomal RNA", at positions 84 to 154 of the family's 154-position model. Lineage: Eukaryota; Fungi; Glomeromycota; Glomeromycetes; Glomerales; Glomeraceae. The record is from RNAcentral.
GUGAAUCAUCGAAUCUUUGAACGCAAAUUGCACUCCCUGGUAUUCCGGGGAGUAUGCCUGCUUGAGGGUCGUUAGAAGCCAAAUCGCCGCAUCGCUCUUUUUUUGAGGGUUCUCGCGUCGGAAUUGAGCCGUCUUUCAAAUGUUAAUUCAUGUCAAAGUGGCUUUAGAUGCAUCCAUCCGGUACGAUUAAAGCGUAUUUAAGAUCAAUUUUGUUUACUCAUGCGCGAUGACGUACGAUCUCAUGUAGUACGGUUGUCCUGGGUCAUCAGGGUCAUUCGUAUACGAUACUCACUC